Molecule: long non-coding RNA, 2260 nt
Filed under: Equus caballus (horse)
Lineage: Eukaryota; Metazoa; Chordata; Mammalia; Perissodactyla; Equidae
Description: lncRNA (ENSECAG00000046968.1)
Source: RNAcentral
GUCCUAAUGAAAAGACACACAAUUUUCGAACUGGAAAAAUAAAUAAUAAUGCAUAUCGCCACUGAAGCCGCAGUAACCUUGCUGUGUUUCUCUCUCAAAUAGAACAAGCUACAUUUCAAAGGACCUUUUCCUUCCAUGUGGAAGUAUUUCUUUGCUAGCUCCUGAGGAGCUGCCAGGAAGUACCAAAGCGUCGCAUGUUUAGAGUUUCAGAGGCAAAUUGCUUCUGCACACGUUGUCUUGAGUCAAUGGAUUCUGCUGUGUUCUCUCUCUCUACGUCAUGACUUCAUUAAUCUUUUUUUUUUUUAAUAUGAGACUUUCAUUUAUUGCUUCUAGAAAGCCAGGUGCAUUGCAGUGGAGCUCUUCGGCAGAAUCUAUGUUUCGUGUGGAUAUUUACUGUUUCAUUGUUGAGCCCCCGGAUGUGUUGGGCGCUGGCAGGCGGCUGCAGAGAGGAAGGGUGGCCUGCCCAGGGACCCGGGAGUCGUGGGUCCCAGGCCCACCUCUUCGGGGCCACCUUGAGCUGGGAGGAAGUCGGAUUUUCCAUGACACACACGGACUUAAAUCCUUCAGCGAAUGAGAAAUCCCCUGGGUCUUCAGAUUGCCAAGACUUUGCAGCUUGGAUAACAUCUUUGGAAAGGUUAAACGAGUCAAUCGUCUAAAGCUUUAGUCGGCACAGGCACGUGAUGCUCUGCCCUGCUGGAAAAGCAGGGGGAACACCGAGAUCUCCCCGCAAACCCUGUGCUUCCGCCGGCCUCUGGGCUCGCGGGGAAUCCCGCCGCUGCAGGGAAGGCACUUCCAUUAGGCGUUUCACUUCGUCCGAGGGAGGCCGGACGACCUCUGUCGGUAUGGCCGCGGCCUUCCAAGAAAUUCGAGCAAGAUCGGGAGGAGGAGACGAGCAGCAGGCCUGGAGACCUGUCGGCAGGGGGCGCGCCGGCCCCCAGCAGAGACAAAGGCCAGACGCGCACCGCGCGGACGGGGGUCGGCCCUCGGGGUCUGGGGGAGUCAGAGGGGGCGCAGCAGGGCAAGAGGAGGGUCCCCUGCCGCCCCCGCCCAGCCUACAGCCGCGCAGCGUGCUCGCCCUUCUUGGGAGAGAGGAGCGGGAGCGUUGCUAAGAUGGUUCCCAUUUUCUGCGUCGUCGCAGGACUCUGUCCCCGUGUCCACAGGCUGCUCUCCUCCCCGCACCGGCACCCGCGUGGGUUCAAACGGUGGCGGGCGGCCCCGGGCCCUCGGACCUCCCCCGGCCGGCGUUCUCAUCCUCCUCUGCCCCCGCCCCCGCCCGGCCCGGCUCCGCGCGGUGACCUCAUUCCCACCCCUCCGAGCGAGUGGGGUGAGCCCGUGGCCGAGGCCGGAGAGCGGAGCUUCCCGCUGCCCCCAGGAACGUGCAGCACGGGCGGGACGCGCAGGCUGUUCGGUUUUGUUGUAAGAAACACCGUGUAUUUUUUUCUAGCACAGGCCACACUCCACCACACUCGAGUACAGAAUAUUAAUUUUUUUUUUACUGCGCUCUCACUUGCCGUCAAGGCUUUCUUCCUCCUUAGCAUCAGGUAAGGACACAGCCAGGCACGGCAGGCACGGAGCCGCCGCCUCUGUCUUCGCCCAGAUCGCAGCAGCCCGCUGCCUCGAUGGUCUGAGGCUGCUGUCAGAUGCGAGCGCGAGUUGGGUCAAAACGACUGGAAGCCCAGCCGAGUGAGGUGGGGGGAUCUGGUUCCCCUGCACAGAGGGAGUCCCCAGGUGGAAGCCAGCUUCCCUCCAAUAGGGCCGAGACGGGGGGAAGCGCUUCUGCCACGCGGCCACACCUGUGCCCACUGGGUGGCCCCCAGCAAAGCUGCAGUCUCAGACUCCUGGUCCCUUUCUCAUACUGCCCCAAACGCUGGGGGGAUUUAAUCCAAAUUUCACUUUCCCUGGCCACGCAGUCAGGUCUUUCCUAACAUUUAAAGGGUUAGAUGGGGGGAAAAUAAAAUCAAAACCAAGUUUUGGAAUUAAAUUUCCUCUGUAUCUUCAAUACGUUAUGACAGAAAUCCAGAAGGAGAAAAAAUAAUCAGGAGCAAACUUCUGUGGUGCUUUCCCACGUGCCCCAGUGAAGCCCGGCUUCCUCCUCCUCCCCACCAGAGCCGGGAAAGAUCUGAAUACUGCGAUUAUGACAUACUGCAGUGGAUACAUUUUCUUUUUUUAAGAUAAAAGUUUUAUUUCAGAGAGAAGCACAAAGCCCUCACUGUCAUGAACAAGCCUGGGCCUCGCCGGGACUCAAGGACCUUCCAGAAGG